This 3615-nucleotide long non-coding RNA is filed under the name Manihot esculenta (cassava). Its description in RNAcentral is "long non-coding RNA (MESC_LNC003536)". The record is from RNAcentral. Lineage: Eukaryota; Viridiplantae; Streptophyta; Magnoliopsida; Malpighiales; Euphorbiaceae.
UCUCCAAUAAAAAAAUCUAUGACAUAAAUUUAACAUGUACAUGCAUAAAUCAUAAGAAUAAGAAAAUGGCAUCACCACCACCACCAUCAUCGUCGCCUCCCUCUGCCUCCCAUUCCCAGAACUCAGCGACUCCACUAAUGCCCCCAAAGGUCAUCCAUCUUUCCUUUCAUCUCUGUGCUUGCUUUUUUAUGUUAUUUUCACUGAAUAUACUGAUCCCUUUGGGGUUUUUGCUUCACAUUAGGUGGAAGAUGGUGGUGCGAAGAAUGCUGUUCCGAUGUCCUCCAGGAAAAUCCUGACUUGGCCCAGCUCCAGUGGGUUCUCUCUUUCUAUGGAGGUGGGAGUUUGAUUUCGUUUUCCUUCGUUAGGCAUGCGGUUUUUCUUCAAGUCAAAUUCUGCAUCCGUUCCAGAUCAAUUUCUAUUUAAAUUCUUUCUUUCCUGUGCAUUUAUGUUGCAAUUAGUUUCUGAGUGCUUCCUUUUGUUGAUAAGGAAGAAAUUGUUAAACAAAUUGAAGCCCUACCCUUCAACCUUAUUUUGUUUGUUUUCUUUUAUACAUACUCAGCUUGAUUCAUGAUGGAUUGUUGAGAAUUGUUGGGAAAAAUAAAACAUUUUAAAAUCGUCUGCUAUGUUUAGUGGUGACAGUCAGGCUUUAAAAUGGAUUCCUCUAAGUGAGUUUUGCUUUGGUUACCUUUUUUUGUGCUACUUUUGCUGAUUGGGACUGUAGAAAUUGAAGUUCUGAUAUUACUAUUAUCUUAAUAAUAAGGGGAAAUAUUUAGACCAUGUUGUGGAAGCAUUUAUUUAUUUACUUAUUUAUCUUCAUCUAAGUUUUUUUUUAAAAAAAAAUUUCUGUGGCAUUUUUUUAUUAUAUGGUUUUUGCUUUGCAAGUCAAGUUUAUUCUUGGAUGAGUUAGGUUGUGUUUACUUUUAGGAUUUGUUUUCUAUAAUAAGGUUCAUGUAAGCGUGUCAGAACUGUUUUUGAGGGUUCAUUUACUUAUAACAUUCCUUUCUACUCGUGGCUUUUGAGCAUUAAUAGAAUCAGCUUUAAGCUCUUCAAGAUAUAUUAAGAACUUCAGAGUUCACGCAUGAAUUUUUUGCAUGAUUUAGUAUCUUCAUAUGGAGUUACACUUCCAUUGAAAUUAAGGGACUUUUCCCCUAGAGCUUUUGAUAUUUUCUGUUGCAACUUAGUUAUGAUCUUUGAUUCUAGAAUCUAGAUUCUUUGAUCCUCCAUAUAAAUUUUAGAUUUGGUUCUUCUCUUUUGAGAUGUGCAUACUCCCUGGCACCCAUAUAACGAAUUGGUAAUGGCAUCUUUUUUAUCAGUUCCUAUUUCUAAGCAUGUACUUAUUGGUUAUUUCUUUCUUUCUUCUUUUUAUUCACACGUUCGAGGGAUGACCUCAGUUGAGUUUGCUAAAGGUUCUUAAAUACUAAAUCUGUUGCUUUUUUUAAGAAAGAAAAAUUAUGUUGAUGGUGUUUGAAUAUCACACAGACCAAUGCUAAGGAUAAACUUCUCCUCUGCAGUUAUCAACUAUUUUAGUCUAGAAAUAAACAAAGUUGAGCAGUAACUAUUUUUGCCAGUUUCUAGAUUAUAGGUGGCAAUAUAAGAGAUGUCAUGCUUGACAGUGUGGAAAACAUGGAGGAGUACAGCAAGUAUGAAACUGACUACACACAUCGUUUGAUAGCAAAAUACUUUUCUAAGAACCCUUAUGGCAGUAAACAGUUACUCAUAACUUAUUUUGUGUUCUCUGCAACUUACAUUUUAAAUAAUGCAUUUGUUCCAAUAUAAUUUGAUUCUAAAUCAUGUAUAUUUACCUGUUCAUUAUAGUUGCAUUAUUCUGGUUAAGUAUUCAUUUCUUGUGGCUAUCGUGAUAAUUUUCCUUUAUGUUUUACUUAGUUUAUAUCCAAAUUUAAUGUAAGGUGCAUGUUUGAAUUUGAUUAGGAUAGAUUGUUGCUUAUGUAGCAACUAUGAGGUUAGUUAUAUUGUGAUAGUUUAUUGAAGUAUCAUUAUACGCUAAUUCUAUCAAGUCCUACUUAUGAUUGUUUGGUGGAACCUUGACCUUAUCGUUAUGAUAUUAUGAUUGUGAAUAAUCCUCCCGAUAUCCAUCGUUUAUUUCUGUUCUUUCAGGAGAAAUAUUUGAAGAGAAAAUGAGAGUGGGUGAGGAGACUAUACUGUCAAGCCGGUAGAGUCCCUUUUUUUUGUGUGCAAAAGUGAUCGUACAGUCCUACCACUUGGUAUCACAAAUGCUGUAACCUAAACUAAUUUUGUUUUGCCAUCUGCCUAGGUGGUCUUGUACUCAAUCAUAUGCUGACCCAGUGAAGGGAUUUGAAGAACAGAACAAUGCUGGUUCAACAUCAGAAGCUUGAUUAGCAUCUCAAAAUGGGAAGCACCCACCAAGGAGUGGCUGAUGAAGCAGCUUCUUGCCUCUCACAUGCGGUAUUCUAUGUAGCUAGACAUGAUUGGUGUAGACAAAUUAAAGAUAAAAUUAACAAAAAGAUAUUUCUAGUUUCUCAUCCAUCUGCCUAUGUUUCAAAUGCUUGCUUUAGGAACUUGCAGAAUUAUUCUAUAUAUGUUUGCAAUUAUGGGCUUGUACAGAUGAGUACAAAUGCGUCUUUCUAGGGUCUCCUGUCCUAUGGGGUUGGUCAUUGUAACUCAGUGAGUGGAUACCUGGAGCAAUGACCAAGAACAUUAUCUUUUAUCUUAGAACUUUGACAAGGCUGAAGGGUUUCAAAAAUUGAAUGAUCCUACAAUUUGGCUGCAAGGCUUCCCUGAAAACAAAAGGACACUUAAUACUCAUGAUACACCAGUGAUUUGACAUGCGAAGCCCUUUGUCUUUUUUGUUCCUAGCAACUAAUGGACAAAAGGGCAUUAGCAACAUAUUAAGAAUGUACACUGCAGUGUUAGGUUUGCAAUUAGGGUUGGCAUUAUUGAUUUGAAGAAUUAUUAGUUGGACAGAGACUAUAUUGUGAGACUCCACCCUUGAGAAAUGAUUUUGCUAUUGGUUGUUGUUAUCAAAUGUAGAUUUCAGUUAAAGAGACCUCCUUCUCCCACCAACCAUCUUAAAUACAUUUUAUAAACAAAAAUAUUCCGUGUCCAAUAUGGGAAGGGACCAUAAAUUAACAAAGCCCCACGAAUCUCCAGCAAUAAAAUAGAGCUUUUGUUGGUCAUCCAGUGGUUGCAGGCUGUUAUCUAUGUAUGUUUUCAGCUUCUGCUGUGUUAUUGCUUUUGUAACUCCUACUAAUCUAACUCUCUACUUUGUUGCUCUUUUUUUUUUUUUUUUUUUUCCCAAUACAUUUGAUUUAAGUUGAAGCGAGACCUUUCAUAUAAUUCUGCGAUAUAUUAUCCAACAGGCCAAUGCAGACUGUGGUCAUAUGCACUCAUUUUACUUGAGUAUCUAAUUUUCUGUUUGUUUCAGGGGAAUUGUUAACGAGCAAGGCAUUAGUCUCUAAAUAUAACAUAUACUUGAGCACCACUGCAAAGUAAAUUCAGCUCUACAAGUACCUAGCUUUAUACACUCUAUUCAAUCCCCUGAAGACAUUGAUAAUAGAUUGAUCAAUUUGAAGCUUCUCCUCGAGGACGAUUGGUGUUGCAUAUGCUUUCUUCCACAUUUCUAAUAGGUGUCAACAG